GUGACAUUAAUGCGAGCCCAGUAAUCACUCAGAGAGAAGAGCUAAGCCCAAGGGUGACUUCAGUCUGAGACAUGGCCAAGUGUCAUAGAAAGUGGAAAAACUGAAUCAACUGUAUAUUUCUCCAGAUAUCACAUGAUCCUUUGUGUUGGGACCUACGACUGGAAUUCACUGGGAACUAAAUUUCUCCAAGUACUAUGUGUUCCCCUUUGCUGGAAAAGACUGAGUGGAUGAAGACCCAAGUUCUGGAGGCCAAAAGUCGGCAGGGCCACACUCUCCCCAGAGCUUCUAGGAGACACCCUGUUCCUUGCCUCUUCCAGCUUCUAGUGGCUGUCAGCAUUCCUUGGCUUGUGGUUGCAUCUUGUCAUAUCGUCUUUUCCUCUGUGUGUCUGUCUCUAA
This 396-nucleotide long non-coding RNA is filed under the name Equus caballus (horse). Its description in RNAcentral is "lncRNA (ENSECAG00000055375.1)". The record is from RNAcentral. Lineage: Eukaryota; Metazoa; Chordata; Mammalia; Perissodactyla; Equidae.